RNAcentral lists this transfer RNA (95 nucleotides) under compost metagenome. RNAcentral's name for it is "tRNA-Thr". The record is from RNAcentral.
GCAGGCGUUGGCCGAGGUGCUGCGUGGCGCGCCGCAAGUGCUGGUGCUGUGGGACGAGAUGUACGAAGAGAUCUGGUUCGGCCAGCCGCCCGCGC